This 612-nucleotide ribosomal RNA is filed under the name Mucronella sp. KUC8367. RNAcentral describes it as "eukaryotic LSU rRNA". It matches the Rfam family "Eukaryotic large subunit ribosomal RNA", at positions 66 to 661 of the family's 3401-position model. Lineage: Eukaryota; Fungi; Basidiomycota; Agaricomycetes; Agaricales. The record is from RNAcentral. RNAcentral also lists the same sequence under 1 other name.
UAACAAGGAUUCCCCUAGUAACUGCGAGUGAAGCGGGAAGAGCUCAAAUUUAAAAUCUGGCAGUUUCACUGUCCGAGUUGUAGUCUAGAGAAGCGUUAUCCGCGCCGGCCCGUGUACAAGUCUCUUUGAACAGAGCAUCAUAGAGGGUGAUAAUCCCGUCUCUGACACGGACUCCCGGUGCUUUUGUGAUGCGCUCUCGAUGAGUCGAGUUGUUUGGGAAUGCAGCUCUAAAUGGGUGGUAAAUUCCAUCUAAAGCUAAAUAUAGGCGAGAGACCGAUAGCGAACAAGUACCGUGAGGGAAAGAUGAAAAGAACUUUGGAAAGAGAGUUAAACAGUACGUGAAAUUGCUAAAAGGGAAACGCUUGAAGUCAGUCACGUUGGCCGAGGAUCAGCCUUGCUUUCGCUGGGUGCAUUUCUUGGUUUACGGGUCAGCAUCAGUUUUGACCGCCGUACAAAGACCCAAUGAAUGUGGCAUCUCAGGAUGUGUUAUAGCUUUGGGAUCACAUGCGGCGGCUGGGACUGAGGAACUCAGCACACCUUUAUGGUCGGGGUUCGCCCACGCUUGUGCUUAGGAUGCUGACAAAAUGGCUUUAAUCGACCCGUCUUGAAACA